This 827-nucleotide ribosomal RNA is filed under the name marine metagenome. RNAcentral describes it as "bacterial SSU rRNA". It matches the Rfam family "Bacterial small subunit ribosomal RNA", at positions 24 to 882 of the family's 1533-position model. The record is from RNAcentral.
UCAGAAGGAACGCUGGCAGCGUGCAUAACACAUGCAAGUCGAACGAUGAAGCAUUCUUCGGAAUGUGGAAGAGUGGCGAACGGGUGAGGAACACGUAAGAAUCUGCCCCUCGGUCGGGGACAACUUUUGGAAACGAAAGCUAAUACCCGAUACGCUGUGGAGUGAAAGAAUUUCGCCGAGGGAUGAUCUUGCGUCUGAUUAGCUAGUUGGUGCGAUAAUGGCGCACCAAGGCGACGAUCAGUAGCUGGUCUGAGAGGAUGAACAGCCACAUUGGAACUGAGACACGGUCCAAACUCCUACGGGAGGCAGCAGUGGGGAAUUUUCCGCAAUGGACGAAAGUCUGACGGAGCGACGCUGCGUGAAGGAUGACGGCCUGCGGGUUGUAAACUUCUUUUCUCGAAGAAGAAGCUCUGACGGUAUUCGAGGAAUAAGCAUCGGCUAACUCCGUGCCAGCAGCCGCGGUAAGACGGAGGAUGCAAGUGUUAUUCGGAAUGAUUGGGCGUAAAGCGUCUGUAGGCUGUAUAGAAAGUCUUUUGUUAAAUGCCUCGGCUCAACCGAGAUCCAGCAAAGGAAACUUCUAUACUUGAGGUAAGUAGAGGUACAGGGAAUUCCCGGUGGAGCGGUGAAAUGCGUAGAUAUCGGGAGGAACACCAAUAUGGCGAAGGCACUGUACUGGGCUUUACCUGACGCUCAGAGACGAAAGCUAAAGGAGUGAUUAGGAUUAGAUACCCUAGUAAUUUUAGCCGUAAACGAUGAAAACUCACUGCCGAGCGAAAUACAACGAGCGGUGGUCAAGCUAACGCGUGAAGUUUUCCGCCUGGGGAUUA